Molecule: ribosomal RNA, 3555 nt
Filed under: Triticum aestivum (bread wheat)
Lineage: Eukaryota; Viridiplantae; Streptophyta; Magnoliopsida; Poales; Poaceae
Description: partial small subunit ribosomal RNA
Source: RNAcentral
AUGGACACUGAGCCUGAAUACAGAAUAGUUUUUUUCAUCGUUGCCAAAUAUUAUUUUGCUGUAAUCAAUAUGUGCCUCUUCUCGCACUGCACAGGGCCAUCAACAGAGAAGCCAAACAAGCAACACUGCAGGCAAGACACGCGAAGCAACCGGCGCAAAAUCCAAACCCUAAACCCCAAGAGUCCCCCUUCCCAACCAUUCCCUCCGUUACAGGACCCGUCAACACUUAAGAAAAAGUUUGACGACAUCUUUUCUGCUACCCGCUAUACCAAAGCUCUCGAAGUCAUAAAGAAACUUCAAAAGGACCAAGCACAGGAAAUCAAGACUUUUAGGUUAAAGCUGGAGAACCUUCAAACUCUUAAAGAUCAAGUAUACAGGCUUCGGGACAGUAUUGCGCAAGAUCAAGAGAAGUCAGAUGCCUUAAAAGCUCAAAUGGAGGACCUGAAAACAAACAUCCAGGCUGUCGAAAACAAAAUCCGUCGUACCGAAACAAGUAUCAUGGACUUGAGGAGACUUCAGGAGCAAAUUAGCACCAAGGCAACAGCUAGAAGUACAUAUUUAACACUUCAGCAGCAACAGCAUGCUGCCCUUUCUGAGGAAAAUGAAGAUACCGAUGAGGAACUGAGGGAGUGGCAGACAACAUUUGAAGAAAAAAUUGCGCUACUGGAUACAAAAAUCGACUCAGCCAUCAGAAAGAUAUUCAAUAAACAUAAUCUCGGGCCAAUUCCUGAUGCUCCUUUUACUAAUGCUAUUGCCACGAACCUUACAUACAGGACUAAAGCAAGACUAUCGAGUCUCGAGGACGAUUUGCAGGAAAAGAAGAAAUCUAGUGAGACACAGUUAGAGUUUCUUUGGGGACGUUAUCUCAAAGUAAACGUCCGCUACUCUGAAGUUGAUGGCCAGAUACAAUCUAAGAAAGAAUCUAAGAUAGGUGUUUUAAGGCGCAUGAAAGAUAAAGAGAAUGAACGAGAUGCUGCAGAGAUGGAGCUUUCAAAGCAUAAUCUGGCCCGUAUUGAUGAAAGAGAUCGGCAUUUGCAAAUUGAGGUUGAGAAGAAGACAAAUGCCUUGGGAGAAAGAGACUAUGAUUUGAUUAUAAGUCAGAAGCGCCCAGAGAUAUAUGCAUUGGAUCACAAGAUAAAAACACUUCACCGGGAGAAAGAUAACAUAACUACUGAUGCUGAUGACAGAGUAAAAUUAGAACUGAAGAAGGAUGAAUUGGAAAAGUGCAAGAAGAAACUUAAAAAGAUAUAUGAUGAACAUAAGGACAAAUUUAGAAGUGUUCUUAAGGGGAGGCUUCCUUAUGAGAAGGAUGUCAAGAAGGAGAUUACUCGAGCUUUUGGGUUUGUAGACGCAGAAUACAAUGAUUUGAGCUCAAAAUCUCUGGAAGCAGAACAGCAGUCGAAAUUGGCACAAAUGAAAAUUUCUGCUGCUAGAAGCCACUUGUCAAAGCUCCAAAAAGAUUUGGACGCAAAAAGAAACCAUCUGAACUCGAAACUUCAACCCAUUACUAAGGUAUCUGUUGACAUCAACACUUACCCCAAGAUUCUGAAAGAUGCCAUGGACGACAGAGAUAAACAAACAAAUACGUACAAUUAUGCAAAGGGAAUGCGGCAAAUGUAUGAACCUUUUGAAAAAGUGGCCCGCCAGCAGCACAAGUGUCCUUGCUGUGAUCGUGUUUUCACACCUGAUGAAGAGGACAUCUUUGAAGAAGGCACAAGUACCGCAGAGCGCCUGAAUGUACUGGCAAUCGAAUUAUCAAAUGCUGAAGACUUUUUCAAUCGAUUGGAUAAUCUCCGUGUGGUUUAUGAUGAAUAUGUGAAACUGGGGAAAGAGAACAUAGCUUUAGCAGAGAAGGAUUUGGAACAACUUUUGGCAGAUGAAAGUGAGAAGGCGCAGAUAUUCAAAGACCUUGUGAGUGCUCUUGCUCAAGUUAAAACGGACAGGGAUGGAGUCGAAGUCUUGUUACAUCCAGUUGAUACUAUCAACAGGCAUGUGCAAGAAAUACAGGAGUUAGAACCACAAGUCAAAGAUCUUGAAUAUAAGCUUGAUUCUCGUGGCCAAGGUGUUAAAUCUGUCGAGGAAAUCCAGUUGGAGCUGAACUCUGUGCAGAGGGCAAGGGACACAUUGAUCAGUGAAGUAGACGAUCUCAGGGAUCAGCAAAAAAUACUUAGCGAGGAUCUGUCAAAUGCUCAGAUGCGGUGGCAUGAUCUUAGGGAAGAAAAACUAAGAGCCUCAAGUGUAUUGCUGAAGUUCAAAAAGGCUGAAGAAGAUUUGGUACUUUUUGCUGAGGAAAAAGAGCAACUGAUCAUAGAUCAGAAGCAUUUAGAAGAGGCUCUUGUUCCAUUGUCAAAAGAGAGAGAAAGCUUGUUGCAAGAGCAUAAAGCUUUGAAGGAAAGGCUUGACCAGGAGUAUGAUCAGCUAGCUGAAAGAAAAAGGGGAUUCCAGCAAGAAAUCGACGCACUUGGAACCCUUAACACACGCAUCAAAGGGUACCUGGAUGCAAAGAAAGUAGAGAAGCUUAAUGAACUGCAGGAAAGGCAUACCCUAUCCCUGUCUCAGUUACAGAAAUGUGAGGCAAGAAAGCAAGACAUCUCGGUUGAGCUUGACAAGAGCAAACAGCUAUUGCGCAGCCAAGAUCAAUUGAAAAGAAACAUUGAUGACAAUCUGAACUACAGGAAAACAAAGGCUGAAGUGGAUCGACUUGCUCAUGAUAUCGAGUUACUUGAAGAAAAUGUGCUUUCCAUCGGCAGCAAGUCCACAAUAGGAGCUGAUCAUAAGCGGCAUGCUCAAGAAAAGGAGAAGCUUCUUUCAGAGUAUAAUAGGUGUGAAGGAACAAUUUCUGUUUACCAAAGUAAUAUUUCAAAGCACAAACUUGAGCUUAAACAGACACAAUACAAGGAUAUUGAGAAAAGAUAUUUUAACCAACUUCUCCAACUUAAGACAACUGAGAUGGCAAAUAAGGACUUGGAGCGAUACUAUGCUGCUUUGGAUAAGGCUCUUAUGCGGUUCCAUACCAUGAAAAUGGAAGAGAUAAAUAAAAUAAUAAAGGAAUUGUGGCAGCAGACAUACAGAGGCCAAUAUUUUUUUUUUGAAAACCCCCUCCAUGUAUUAAUUAACUUAAAAUAUAUUGAUUGCAUAAGCAUCAGUUCUGACUCCGAGGGUGCAGGCACUCGAUCAUAUAGCUAUCGUGUUGUCAUGCAAAAUGGUGGUGCUGAGCUGGAAAUGCGAGGGCGAUGCAGUGCUGGCCAGAAGGUUCUUGCUUCUCUUAUAAUCAGACUGGCACUGGCAGAGACAUUCUGUCUGAAUUGCGGCAUAUUAGCUCUGGAUGAGCCAACCACCAAUCUUGACGGGCCGAAUGCGGAGAGCCUAGCUGCUGCCCUAUUGAGAAUAAUGGAAAGCAGAAAAGGCCAGGAGAACUUCCAGCUGAUUGUAAUCACCCAUGAUGAGCGGUUUGCUCAGCUUAUUGGUCAGAGGCAGCUUGCCGAGAAGUACUACCGAGUUUCCAAGGAUGAGCAACAACACAGCAAAAUUGAAUCCCAGGAGAUAUUUGACUGA